RNAcentral lists this non-coding RNA (27 nucleotides) under Homo sapiens (human). Lineage: Eukaryota; Metazoa; Chordata; Mammalia; Primates; Hominidae. The record is from RNAcentral.
UGCUGAAGAUGCCCAGGGAGCUGAUGC